CCUACGGGAGGCAGCAGUGAGGAAUAUUGGUCAAUGGGCGGGAGCCUGAACCAGCCAAGUAGCGUGAGGGAAGAAGGUACAGUGUAUUGUAAACCUCUUUUGUCAGGGAAUAAAGGCGGGGACUAGUCCCCGGAUGAGGGUACCUGAAGAAAAAGCAUCGGCUAAUUCCGUGCCAACAGCCGCGGUAAUACGGAGGGUGCGAGCGUUAUCCGGAUUUAGUGGGUUUAAAGGGUGCGCAGGCGGCCUGUUAAGUCAGCGUUAAAAGCCCGGGGCUCAACCCCGGAGGGACGUGGAAACUGGCGGGCUUGAGUUGGAGAGAGGUACGCGGAAUGCGCGGUGUAGCGGUGAAAUGUUGAGAUAUCGCGCAGAACCCCGAUUGCGAAGGCAGCGUACCGGCUCCACACUGACGCUGAGGCACGAAAGCGUGGGUAUCGAACAGGAUUAGAUACCCCGGUAGUC
This 459-nucleotide ribosomal RNA is filed under the name uncultured bacterium. RNAcentral describes it as "partial 16S ribosomal RNA". It matches the Rfam family "Bacterial small subunit ribosomal RNA", at positions 338 to 795 of the family's 1533-position model. The record is from RNAcentral.